UUGUCUGUUGAGUUUCU
Molecule: microRNA, 17 nt
Filed under: Corchorus capsularis
Lineage: Eukaryota; Viridiplantae; Streptophyta; Magnoliopsida; Malvales; Malvaceae
Description: sRNA CCACVL1_12831
Source: RNAcentral